This 490-nucleotide ribosomal RNA is filed under the name uncultured bacterium. Its description in RNAcentral is "partial 16S ribosomal RNA". It matches the Rfam family "Bacterial small subunit ribosomal RNA", at positions 29 to 506 of the family's 1533-position model. The record is from RNAcentral.
GUGAACGCUGGCGGUAGGCCUAACACAUGCAAGUCGCACGGCAGCACAGUAAGAGCUUGCUCUUACGGGUGGCGAGUGGCGGACGGGUGAGGAAUACAUCGGAAUCUACUUUUUCGUGGGGGAUAACGUAGGGAAACUUACGCUAAUACCGCAUACGACCUACGGGUGAAAGCAGGGGAUCUUCGGACCUUGCGCGAUUGAAUGAGCCGAUGUCGGAUUAGCUAGUUGGCGGGGUAAAGGCCCACCAAGGCGACGAUCCGUAGCUGGUCUGAGAGGAUGAUCAGCCACACUGGAACUGAGACACGGUCCAGACUCCUACGGGAGGCAGCAGUGGGGAAUAUUGGACAAUGGGCGCAAGCCUGAUCCAGCCAUACCGCGUGGGUGAAGAAGGCCUUCGGGUUGUAAAGCCCUUUUGUUGGGAAAGAAAAGCAGCAGGUUAAUACCCCGCUGUUCUGACGGUACCCAAAGAAUAAGCACCGGCUAACUUCGU